GAAUACAGGCCAUUAUCUGGCAUUGUUAUCCCACAGAGGGCUAGUUUUACAUAUCAUCCAGUUACACAGACAUGCCGUAGAGAGUCCAUUCACCUUCUCCAAUACAGAAGUACCCCACCAGGGAAGGCAACCUGCAUCCUCCUGAUUACAAGCAGCAAUAAGCCCUGGGAAAACGUGACAGCUUCAAUUCACAUCCUCUAGUAUCAAGGGAGACCGUCACCAUCAACCCCCAAGUCACUGGACCACCUUCACAAAACUUUAUUUCAACAAGAUACUGAAUUUGAAUCUAGUAUUUUAAUCCACGAGGCUGACAGUGAUACUAUACUACUAGUUCAGUAACACGUGUGUUGAAUAUGACCACUUUUGUUGUAUCAAACCGCUCAUAAGAUGCUAACUAUGGAUUUGAUAUCGCAAUGGAACCAACGUGUUUAGAACAAAAAGCAUUACGUUGUUUUUUUUUUCCAAUCUCAGGCUACGUUGCCAUUCUACUUGUAUUGCUGCUUUAUACUGUGUUUAUAGUCUUCAUUUUGUUUUAUUUAAUUAUAUUUUAUUGUGUAAAGCGCAUGUUUUAAGUUUGUAAGAUACAGCGCGAGUGCAUUUUUCCGUGCAAUUAUUUAUAGUCAGCGGCCUGGAUUUGAACCGUCCCCGCUGUGAAUUGAGCUCUGUUCCAUAGACACUUGAGGUGCAUGUUUCUCGCGUUACCUGUCCUCUGUCGAAACCACAAAACGAACAGAGGGUGACUGUUUUUAUUCCUGAUCCUGCGAUGCACAGCUGCGUCCGCUGCCAAGCGCGCUCUGGUCCCGCUGACAGCUCGCGCUGACUCACGCUCCUCAUCCCUCCGUGUCUCCGUGGCGCGGGAGAGCGGAGAUGUCAGGAAUGUGGAGAUGGAGCGGGAUAUGACCUCCCGAGCGGAUCCACAUGAUAAACAACAUGAAAGCAGGGUGCUGAAAGAGAAGGCGAUAAAUAAGCUGUUGAAAUGUGUGUCUGUGCGUGGGGGCGUUAGGAGGAGGCACCGCUGUCGGUGACUCAGGAUGGGAUUGGCGGGUGGCUCGGCCCCAGCUGAGGAGCAGACCAGCGGCCCACGGGUUCAACAUCAUCAAAUCUGCUUUACAAGCCUCACGGGACAGGAACUCUGUCACUGCCAACUCUACCCCAGCAAAAGUCCAAAGAAAAUGACCAGACCAGCGCUGAAUGUGCACUUUAAACACCAGAAUUUACCUAUAAAAAUCAGCUUCAGAAUCUUUUAUGAAAAAAGAAUGUUCUCUGAAUGUUUUGUUCUGAACAUGGGUUGAAACUGAAUGAUUUCCUUGUCAGGAAUUUUAAGGGGUCUUCCUGGUGCCAAAAGGUUUAAAGCCACGAUUUCAGUCUCAAGUCUUGGACAACCACUGUAUGACAUAAUGGCUUAUUAGUCACAGAGCUAUUA
Anguilla anguilla (European eel) is the source of this 1423-nucleotide long non-coding RNA. RefSeq lists it as uncharacterized. The transcript is spliced from 3 exons. The record is from RefSeq and is a predicted model, not a curated record. Lineage: Eukaryota; Metazoa; Chordata; Actinopteri; Anguilliformes; Anguillidae.